Molecule: ribosomal RNA, 552 nt
Filed under: uncultured bacterium
Lineage: Bacteria
Description: bacterial SSU rRNA
Rfam family: Bacterial small subunit ribosomal RNA
Source: RNAcentral
CGUUGUCCGGAAUUACUGGGUGUAAAGGGAGCGCAGGCGGGAAGACAAGUUGGAAGUGAAAUCUAUGGGCUUAACCCAUAAACUGCUUUCAAAACUGUUUUUCUUGAGUAGUGCAGAGGUAGGCGGAAUUCCCGGUGUAGCGGUGGAAUGCGUAGAUAUCGGGAGGAACACCAGUGGCGAAGGCGGCCUACUGGGCACCAACUGACGCUGAGGCUCGAAAGUGUGGGUAGCAAACAGGAUUAGAUACCCUGGUAGUCCACACCGUAAACGAUGAUUACUAGGUGUUGGACAGUGCCGCAGUUAACACAAUAAGUAAUCCACCUGGGGAGUACGACCGCAAGGUUGAAACUCAAAGGAAUUGACGGGGGCCCGCACAAGGGGUGGGGGGUGUGGUUUAAUUCGACGCAACGCGAAGAACCUUACCAAGUCUUGACAUCCAGGUGGUGCAUGGUUGUCGUCAGCUCGUGUCGUGAGAUGUUGGGUUAAGUCCCGCAACGAGCGCAACCCUUAUGGUCAGUUACGACUCUGGCCAGACUGCCGUUGACAAACGGA